GUGAGGAAUAUUGGUCAAUGGACGAGAGUCUGAACCAGCCAAGUCGCGUGAAGGAAGACGGUUCUAUGAAUUGUAAACUUCUUUUGUGCAGGAAUAAAGUGGGUUACGUGUAACCUUUUGUAUGUACUGUACGAAUAAGGAUCGGCUAACUCCGUGCCAGCAGCCGCGGUAAUACGGAGGAUACGAGCGUUAUCCGGAUUUAUUGGGUUUAAAGGGUGCGUAGGUGGAUUGAUAAGUCAGCGGUGAAAGUUUGCAGCUUAACUGUAAAAUUGCCGUUGAACCUGUCGGUCUUGAGUGCAAAUGAGGUAGGCGGAAUGUGUUGUGUAGCGGUGAAAUGCUUAGAUAUAACACAGAACUCCGAUUGCGAAGGCAGCUUACUGGGAUGCAACUGACACUGAUGCACGAAAGCGUGGGUAUCAAACAGGAUUAGAAACCCGAGUAGUCC
RNAcentral lists this ribosomal RNA (445 nucleotides) under uncultured bacterium. Its description in RNAcentral is "partial 16S ribosomal RNA". It matches the Rfam family "Bacterial small subunit ribosomal RNA", at positions 354 to 796 of the family's 1533-position model. The record is from RNAcentral.